This 68-nucleotide transfer RNA is filed under the name Marmota monax (woodchuck). RNAcentral's name for it is "tRNA.Ala". The record is from RNAcentral. Lineage: Eukaryota; Metazoa; Chordata; Mammalia; Rodentia; Sciuridae.
GGAUAUAGCUCAGUUGGUAGAGUGCUUACCUUGCAUGCACAAGGCCUUGUGUUCAAUCCCUAGAACCA